AUUGAACGCUGGCGGCAGGCCUAACACAUGCAAGUCGAACGGUAACAGGGAUCAGCUUGCUGAUUCGCUGACGAGUGGCGGACGGGUGAGUAAUGUCUGGGAAACUGCCUGAUGGAGGGGGAUAACUACUGGAAACGGUAGCUAAUACCGCAUAACGUCGCAAGACCAAAGAGGGGGACCUUCGGGCCUCUUGCCAUCGGAUGUGCGCCGUUGGGAUUAGCUAGUAGGUGGGGUAACGGCUCACCUAGGCGAGGAUCCCUAGCUGGUGUGAGAGAAGGACCGGCGACACUGGAGCUGGGACACGGUCCAGAGUCCUGAGGGAGGCAGCAGAGGGGAAUAUUGCACAAUGGGGGCGAGCCUGAUGCAGCCAUGCCGCGUGUAUGAAGAAGGCCUUCGGGUUGUAAAGUAGUUUCAGCGGUGAGGAAGGGAGUAAAGUUAAUACCUUGGCUCAUUGACGUUACCCGCAGAAGAAGCACCGGCUAACUCCGUG
Molecule: ribosomal RNA, 490 nt
Filed under: uncultured bacterium
Lineage: Bacteria
Description: partial 16S ribosomal RNA
Rfam family: Bacterial small subunit ribosomal RNA
Source: RNAcentral